CAUUCACGGAGAGUUUGAUCCUGGCUCAGGACGAACGCUGGCGGCGUGCUUAACACAUGCAAGUCGAACGAUGAAGCCCUUCGGGGUGGAUUAGUGGCGAACGGGUGAGUAACACGUGGGCAAUCUGCCCUUCACUCUGGGACAAGCCCUGGAAACGGGGUCUAAUACCGGAUAACACUCCCGCACUCCUGUGUGGGGGUUAAAAGCUCCGGCGGUGAAGGAUGAGCCCGCGGCCUAUCAGCUUGUUGGUGAGGUAAUGGCU
RNAcentral lists this ribosomal RNA (262 nucleotides) under Streptomyces sp. SID14478. RNAcentral describes it as "partial 16S ribosomal RNA". It matches the Rfam family "Bacterial small subunit ribosomal RNA", at positions 1 to 265 of the family's 1533-position model. Lineage: Bacteria; Bacillati; Actinomycetota; Actinomycetes; Kitasatosporales; Streptomycetaceae. The record is from RNAcentral.